UGAAACGGUUGACGAUGAAGAUGAUAGUGAUAGUGAUAGUGAUAGUGAUGAUACGGAAAUAUCGAACGAGUCGGAAGAGUCGAAAGAUGCUGAUCAUGGUCAGAAAAAAAAAAUUAUGAUGCUAAGUGAAAACCAUUAUCAACAACAUGGUCAUAAUCUGAAUGACCAAAGUAUUAACACAAAAAAUGAUAGUGAUAGUAGAAGUAGAAGUAGAAGUAGACGUAGAAGUAGAAGUGGUCACACAGAGGAUACUCAGCGAAAAAAAAAAAAAAAAAAAAAAUUAUACAUGAAUAGCGAAAUAAAAAGUAUUAGUGAUAGUUCCAGUAACAGUUGCAAAAUUUAUAAAGUUAUUAAAAAACAAAUAAAUGAUAAUGCUGAUGAUAACAAAACAGGUAGUAAUUGUAGUAAAAAAAAAAUGAGAAAUGAGUCCAGGAGUGUUAGUGGUAGUAGUGGUGGUAGUAGUGGUAGUGGUAGUGGUAGUGGUAGUGGUAGUAGUGUUAGUGGUAGUAGUGGUAGUAACGGUAGUAGUAGUAGUAACGGUAGUAGUAGUAGUAGUAGUAGUAGUAGUAGUAGUAGUAGUAGCAACGGUAGUAGUAGCAGUAACGAAGAACAAAUGGGUGAAGAAUACAUACUUCUUGACAACGUUAAUAAACAAAGUAAAGGAAAUUCAACUACAAUAAUAACAGAUGACAGUUCAGGUGUAUCCACACUGUAUUCUUUUUUAAGUGAAUAUAGUAGUGCAUAUGAAAGUGAGGAAGAUGAAAAUAAUACACGAACAGUUAUGAAGAGUCCGAACAAAGGGGCCAUGUUAAGCUACGACAAUACAACAAAUAAUAUGCCAAAAAAAACAAACAAACAAAAAAAAAAAAAAAAAAUAAUCGAUUUAAGUGUUAUAGAAAAUAUAUAUUACGAAGAGGAGUUUAGUGUUGAUUCGAGUAGUAUAAAAAAUGAAGUUGAUUAUUUGGAUAAAUACAAUCGUGGUUUUGUUUUUGGACAUGUUGGUAGGAACAGAAAUAAAAGUAACUAUACCAGCGGUUACAAACAUAAUCACAGCCAUAAAAAUAAGAACAUAAAAAAAGAAAUUGAAAAAAUUAAAGAAGAGAUAAAAGAAUUAAAGGAGAGUCGAAAAAAAUACGUAAAAAAAAUAAGAAAAACAAACGAACAAAUUUUAUUAAUAAUAUGUAACGAAAAAAUGAUAAAAAAUAUAUUAAAAUGUAUGAACAGUACAAAUUAUAAAAUAAAGGUGUAUGCUUGUAUAAUUCUUUCAUAUAUUCCGAAUAUAAAUGAAUGGGUAGAUACUGGUUCUAGUAACACUUGCAAUGACACGCGUAACGAACUGCACAACGAAAUGCAUAAAGAAAUGGUCAACGAAAACGCCACUGUACAAAUUCAUAACAACAGUUUAAUAACAAGUCCUGACAAGUUUAAUAAUAGUAUAAGUAUACCUAGAACUGAAAAUGAUAAUACGACUUUUAAUAAUAAGUGUAUACCAAAGGGUAAUACUGUUGAUGAUUAUAACAAUUAUUACUUUGAUGGUGGUAGUAGUAAUAUAUUGAGUAAUAACCAACAACACCAAACACAAUAUCAACAUAUACCAAAUUGGAACAGCACAAGUGACAAGAAUUCUAUGUACACGUUAAAAAAUAACAAUAAAAAUAAUAAUAUUCCAAUAAAAAAAGCAAACAAGAACUUCAUAUGCAGUGUGAAAAACGAUUAUGAUAACUACAUGUAUAAAUGCUGUGUUAUAAACACAUUACUAUAUUAUUUAUUAAACCAAACUAUGUUCUAUAAAAAUAUAUUAGCACAUGUAAAAAAAUAUAUUUCAAACCAAUAUCAUGUUGCUUUUUUUAAAGAAUACGAACUGAGAGGCAGGUGUUUGAUUAAUAUUAUAAAUUAUCGUAAAUUUACAAAAAGUAAGAAAAAACAACGUGAAAAACAAUGUGAAAAACAAUGUGAAAAACAAUGUGAAAAUCAACGUGAAAAUCAACGCGAAAAACAAACCAUGAUUUGUAAUGGAUUUAUAGGUGAUAGGUAUGGCCUGCGUAACCAACCCGGGGGAAGUCAAUCUAAGCAGGACCAAACCAUGGGUCAACUUUCUGACGAAUCAAACCAUGUUGAAACUUUAAUAUGCUAUACAAACAAAAAAAAUAAAUAUUUGGUGCAAACAAAUGAAAGCAACUACAAGUGUGAGGUAUAUUAUAAAUAUAAUAAUAAUAAUAAUAAUAACAAUAGUAAUAACAAUAGUAGUAGUAAUAAUAAUAACAAUAAUAAUAACAAUAGUAGUAGUAAUAAUAAUAACAAUAAUAAUAACAAUAAUAAUAACAAUAGUAAUAGUAAUAAUACCCAUUGGGAAUCUGGAAACAAACAUAAACGCAACUAUACUGAUGAGCAUCCACUUCAUUUAGAUAAUAAAAAAAAUGAUUAUGACAAUUUCAACCAUUUGAAUAGAAAAAUGAAUUAUGACAGUUACGAUAUAACAUAUGUUACUAACAACAUGAAUGAGUAUAAUGGUAUAAACAGAGAAGUUGGUAGUAAUGGGCACAUAUCGCUAGAAAGAGGAGUAAACAGUUUAGUAGUAGUAGAACAAGGAGGGGGGGGGGUGGUACCAUAUAAUAAACAACAAUAUGGUAAAUACAAACAAACAGAAUAUAGUAAAGAUAUUAUAAUAGAAGAACAUAUUAAGUGCAUGUUUGGAUAUAUAAUGCAAUUAAACAGAUUUGGAAUUUUAAAUGAUAUGAUUGUAAAAUUAUAUACAAAUUUAUGUAAGAAACUAAAACAUGUAGAUGUUGAAUUUUUAUUUUUGAUUUUAAAAACGAAAAUUGAAGAAGGAAGAAAAUAUGAAAGAAAUAUUAAUUUAUUGAAGGACGAAUAUGAAAAUGUAAAUACAGUAUAUAACGACUUUAUUCAUUUACAAUACGAGUUUAAUAAAGAAAUAAGUAUAAUAAAUGGUUUGUAUGAAGAAGUAAACGAAAUUGAUAAAAGAAAAAAAAAAAUCGAAAAAAAAUAUAAUGUCAUUCAUUCUGAAGUAUGUAAAUAUAGAAAAAAUUUAAUACAAAUUGAAAAAAUGAUAGAAGAUGUACCAUCUAUAAUAAAAUGUAUAAAAAGUGAAUUAGAUAAAAUAAAAAUGGAUAUUCAAUUAUUAAAAAAAGAUAAAAAAAAAUUAUCAUUAUAUAUUUUAUUAUAUAAAAUAUAUUUGGAUAAUCAUAAUUAUAUGAUAAAUAAAUUAAAAAAUAAAAAAAUUAUUUUAGAUAAUUUGCAAUUGUUAUCAAAUGAAUUUGACAACAACAAUGGUUUAAUCAAAAAUGAAAUAGUUUGUGCUAUUCAUAAUGACUUAUGUUUGUUAAAGUCUAUAAAUGACAUAUUAAAUGUAAACAUUUAUAACGAAAAUUUAAAUUUUUUAGUAAAAAAAGCAAACUAUUUGAUAGGAACAAAUUAUUAUGAUCAUAAUAAUUAUACAAUUUUUAAUGAAAAUAAAUUAUUAAUUGUUUUAAAAAAAAACACAAAUAUGGAUUCCAAAAGUAAUAUUAAUCUUCUUAAAAUAAAUAAUGUUUUGCAACAAAAAUAUAAACAUUACUUUGGUGACUUUGAAAGCAUUAAUACUAAUGAUAAAUACGAUAAUAAUAAUAAUAGGGUUUAUAAUAAUAGAGUUUAUAAUAAUAGGGUUUAUAGUAAGGACACGAAUAAAUCCAAUUUUGUAGCACUAAAAGAACAAGAAAAGUUACAAGAAACGUUUACAAAAAAAAAUACUAGUCGUAGUAGUAGUAUUAUCAUCAAAAGACACAGCAGUUAUAGCAGUAGCGACGAUGGUAAUAUUGUUAAGAAGAGGGAUGAUACGCAUGGCAACGAACGUAACAUGCAACACCAUGAACAGUACAAACUAAAUGAUCACAAAAACAAUUACAACAACAGUAGUAAUGGUAAAGAAAGUCAAGUAUAUUAUACAAAUGACAACCGUCCUGGUUAUAAUGACAACCGUCCUGGUUAUAAUGACAACCGUUCUGGUUAUAAUGACAACCGUUCUGGUUAUAAUGACAACCGUUCUGGUUAUAAUGACAACCACCCUAGCUAUAAUGACAACCACCCUAGCUAUAAUGACAACCACCCUAGCUAUAAUGACAACCACCCUAGCUAUAAUGACAACCACCCUAGCUAUAAUGACAACCAUUCUAGUUAUAAUGACAACCACCCUAGCUAUAAUGACAAUAUAAAUGGUUCUUACAUAAAAGAUAUGUCCCAGAGAAGUAAACAUAACACUAAUAGUAAAAGAUGUGUUACUAUAAAUAAUAAUGAAAAUAACAAACUAGAUGAAAUGUAUACUGAUAAUUAUUAUGAUAGCAACACAUCUGACUCAAAAAAUGAAGAUGAGAAUGAUUAUUGUGAUGAAGACAAUGAAUUAAUUAAAAACCGAAUUAAAACCUUUAACAGUUUUAUUAAUAGUAAUAUAAAAGAUGUAUCUAAAAGUGAUAUAGAAAUUAAUAACGAAACGAUAAAUAAAGAUAUGUUUUUUAAAAUAGUUAAUAUAAUAAAAAAAAGAGAAAAAGAAAUGGAAACUUUUACUAAUUCUCAGAAAAAUAAUGAAAUAUAUAAAAGCAUACACAAAUUUAAUAUGCUUUUGAAUAAAUGCAAUACGCAAAUUGACAUUUAUAAAAAGCGUUAUAGAAAUUUAAAGCAGGAUAUACAUAAUAUUAAUAGUGCCAAUAUGGUGAAAAAGUCAGAGUCUAUGUAUAAAUCCAUACGAGAACUUGACGAUACUAUAGAGGCAUUGAGCAAAGAUGUGAAACUAGUGGAAGACGAAAGAGACGAAAAAGAACAAGAAAUAGCUAUACAGAGAAAAAGAAUUGAAAAAAAAGAAUACGAAAAAAAUAAAAAGAAAGAAGAACUACGUAUAUUAGUAACCAAAAUGUAUAGUCAUAAUACCAAAAUAAAAAAAAUAUAUGAAAAGGAACAAAAAAUUGUAUUAAUAUUG
RNAcentral lists this long non-coding RNA (4966 nucleotides) under Piliocolobus tephrosceles (Ugandan red Colobus). RNAcentral describes it as "lncRNA (ENSPTEG00000000611.1)". Lineage: Eukaryota; Metazoa; Chordata; Mammalia; Primates; Cercopithecidae. The record is from RNAcentral.